CCUACGGGUGGCAGCAGUGGGGAAUAUUGCGCAAUGGGCGAAAGCCUGACGCAGCGACGCCGCGUGAGGGAUGAAGGUCUUCGGAUUGUAAAACUCUGUUAGCAGGGAGGUACGGUCACUGUGCUAAUCAGCAGUGAAUUGACGGUACCUGCAAAGGAAGCAUCGGCGAACGCCGUGCCAGCAGCCGCGGUAAGACGGAGGGUGCGUGCGUUGAUCGGAAUUACUGGGCGGAAGGGGCUCGUAGGCGGUAUGUCAAGGCAAGGGUGAAAUCCCCGGGCUCAACCGGGGAACUGCCUUUGAAACUGGCAAACUGGAGUGUGUGGGAGGAUAGUGGAAUUCCAGGUGUAGGAGUGAAAUCCGUAGAUAUCUGGAGGAACAUCAGUGGCGAAGGCGACUAUCUGGCACAUAACUGACGCUGAGGAGCGAAAGCGUGGGUAGCAAACAGGAUUAGAUACCCCUGUAGUC
Molecule: ribosomal RNA, 465 nt
Filed under: uncultured bacterium
Lineage: Bacteria
Description: partial 16S ribosomal RNA
Rfam family: Bacterial small subunit ribosomal RNA
Source: RNAcentral